GACGAACGCUGGCGGCAGGCCUAACACAUGCAAGUCGAGCGAGGACUUCGGUCCUAGCGGCGGACGGGUGAGUAACGCGUGGGAACGUGCCCUUUGCUUCUGCAUAGCUCUGGGAAACUGGGAGUAAUACCGGAUGAGCCCUUUGGGGGAAUGAUUUAUCGUCCAAGGAUCGGCCCGCGUUGGAUUAGGUCGUUGGUGGGGUAAUGGCCUACCAAGCCGACGAUCCAUAGCUGGGUUGAGAGGAUGAUCAGCCACACUGGGACUGAGACACGGCCCAGACUCCUACGGGAGGCAGCAGUGGGGAAUCUUAGACAAUGGGGGAAGCCCUGAUGUAGCCAUGCCGGGUGAGCGAUGAAGGCCGUAGGGAUGUAAAGCUCUUUCAGCUGGGAAGAUAAUGACGGUACCAGCAGAAGAAGCCCCGGCUAACUACGUG
Molecule: ribosomal RNA, 433 nt
Filed under: uncultured bacterium
Lineage: Bacteria
Description: partial 16S ribosomal RNA
Rfam family: Bacterial small subunit ribosomal RNA
Source: RNAcentral